Molecule: ribosomal RNA, 503 nt
Filed under: uncultured bacterium
Lineage: Bacteria
Description: partial 16S ribosomal RNA
Rfam family: Bacterial small subunit ribosomal RNA
Source: RNAcentral
AUUGAACGCUGGCGGCAGGCUUAACACAUGCAAGUCGAGCGGGGUGAUGGUGCUUGCACUAUCACUUAGCGGCGGACGGGUGAGUAAUGCUUAGGAAUCUGCCUAUUAGUGGGGGACAACAUCUCGAAAGGGAUGCUAAUACCGCAUACGUCCUACGGGAGAAAGCAGGGGAUCACUUGUGACCUUGCGCUAAUAGAUGAGCCUAAGUCGGAUUAGCUAGUUGGUGGGGUAAAGGCCUACCAAGGCGACGAUCUGUAGCGGGUUUGAGAGGAUGAUCCGUCACACUGGGACUGAGACACGGCCCAGACUCCUACGGGAGGCAGCAGUGGGGAACAUUGGACAAUGGGGGGAACCCUGAUCCAGCCAUGCCGCGUGUGUGAAGAAGGCCUUAUGGUUGUAAAGCACUUUAAGCGAGGAGGAGGCUCUUUUGGUUAAUACCCAAGAUGAGUGGACGUUACUCGCAGAAUAAGCACCGGCUAACUCUGUGCCAGCCGCCGCGGUAA